AACAACGUAGUUUAAUAAAAAUAUUUGUUUUGCAUAUAAAAGAAGGCUUUAGCUCGCUGUUA
This 62-nucleotide transfer RNA is filed under the name Neomazocraes dorosomatis. Its description in RNAcentral is "tRNA-Ala". The record is from RNAcentral. Lineage: Eukaryota; Metazoa; Platyhelminthes; Monogenea; Mazocraeidea; Mazocraeidae.